GUGCCAGCCGCCGCGGUAAUACGGAGGUUGCAAGCGUUGUUCGGAAUUACUGGGCGUAAAGGGAGCGCAGGCGGUUCAACAAGUCUAAAGUGAAAGCCCGGGGCUUAACCUCGGAAGCGCUUUGGAUACUAUUGAACUUGAGUUCGUGAGAGGAGAGCGGAAUUCCAGGUGUAGCGGUGAAAUGCGUAGAUAUCUGGAGGAACACCGGUGGCGAAAGCGGCUCUCUGGCACGACACUAACGCUGAGGCUCGAAAGCGUGGGGAGCAAACGGGAUUAGAUACCCCGGUAGUCCACGCCGUAAACGUUGUGCACUAGGUGUGGGAGGUAUCGACCCCUUCCGUGCCGAAGCUAACGCAUUAAGUGCACCGCCUGGGGAGUACGGUCGCAAGGCUGAAACUCAAAUGAAUUGACGG
Molecule: ribosomal RNA, 413 nt
Filed under: uncultured bacterium
Lineage: Bacteria
Description: bacterial SSU rRNA
Rfam family: Bacterial small subunit ribosomal RNA
Source: RNAcentral